Molecule: ribosomal RNA, 245 nt
Filed under: uncultured Reyranella sp.
Lineage: Bacteria; Pseudomonadati; Pseudomonadota; Alphaproteobacteria; Hyphomicrobiales; Reyranellaceae
Description: partial 16S ribosomal RNA
Rfam family: Bacterial small subunit ribosomal RNA
Source: RNAcentral
GACGAAGGGGGCUAGCGUUGUUCGGAAUUACUGGGCGUAAAGCGAGUGUAGGUGGUUGUCAUAGUCAGGUGUGAAAGCCUUGAGCUCAACUCAAGAAAUGCACUUGAUACUGGGCGACUAGAGGACCGGAGAGGAUAGUGGAAUUCCCAGUGUAGUGGUGAAAUACGUAGAGAUUGGGAAGAACACCAGUGGCGAAGGCGGCUAUCUGGACGGUUUCUGACACUAAGACUCGAAAGCGUGGGGAG